RNAcentral lists this ribosomal RNA (464 nucleotides) under uncultured bacterium. RNAcentral describes it as "partial 16S ribosomal RNA". It matches the Rfam family "Bacterial small subunit ribosomal RNA", at positions 28 to 507 of the family's 1533-position model. The record is from RNAcentral.
GACGAACGCUGGCGGCGUGCUUAACACAUGCAAGUCGAACGAUGAACCGGUUUCGGCCGGGGAUUAGUGGCGAACGGGUGAGUAACACGUGGGCAAUCUGCCCUGCACUCUGGGAUAAGCCCGGGAAACUGGGUCUAAUACCGGAUACGACACUCCGAGGCAUCUUGGGGUGUGGAAAGUUCCGGCGGUGCAGGAUGAGCCCGCGGCCUAUCAGCUUGUUGGUGGGGUAAUGGCCUACCAAGGCGACGACGGGUAGCCGGCCUGAGAGGGUGACCGGCCACACUGGGACCGAGACACGGCCCAGACUCCUACGGGAGGCAGCAGUGGGGAAUAUUGCACAAUGGGCGAAAGCCUGAUGCAGCGACGCCGCGUGAGGGAUGACGGCCUUCGGGUUGUAAACCUCUUUCAGCAGGGAAGAAGCGAAAGUGACGGUACCUGCAGAAGAAGCACCGGCUAACUACGUG